GAUGAACGCUGGCGGCGUGCUUAACACAUGCAAGUCGAACGAGAGAAGAUCGGUGCUUGCACUGAUCCGAUCGAGUGGCGGACGGGUGAGUAACGCGUGGGUAACCUGCCUCAUACAGGGGAAUAACAGUUGGAAACGGCUGCAAAAACCGCAUAAGCGCACAGUAUCGCAUGAUACCGUGUGAAAAACUCCGUUGGUAUGAGAUGGACCCGCGUCUGAUUAGCUAGUUGGUGAGGUAACGGCCAACCAAGGCAACGAUCAGUAGCCGGCCUGAGAGGGUGAACGGCCACAUUGGGACUGAGACACGGCCCAAACUCCUACGGGAGGCUGCAGUGGGGAAUAUUGCACAAUGGGGGAAACCCUGAUGCAGCGACGCCGCGUGAGUGAUGAAGUAUUUCGGUAUGUAAAGCUCUAUCAGCAGGGAAGAUAAUGACGGUACCUGACUAAGAAGCACCGGCUAAAUACGUGCCAGCAGCCGCCGUAA
RNAcentral lists this ribosomal RNA (484 nucleotides) under uncultured bacterium. RNAcentral's name for it is "partial 16S ribosomal RNA". It matches the Rfam family "Bacterial small subunit ribosomal RNA", at positions 28 to 523 of the family's 1533-position model. The record is from RNAcentral.